AUAGCAGAAAUAAAGAGAAAUUAUGCGCUAUGGUCAUGACGUAAAGUCAUAGUUGUGACCAAUUAAUUUGACCUAUUCUUUUUCUUCCUGAAAGAACAGACCAACCUAGAGUCAGAUGCAACAGAACAAAUUACCUAAAAAGGUAAGGUAUAAGUAUUACCAAUCAGCAAUAUCUAUAUCCAACAAACACCAUUUCAAUAAGUAUUACCAAUUAGCAAUACCUAUAUCCAAAAAACACCAUUUCAAAGGGAACAAACUCAGAAGUGCCUAAACCAUGUGAAGGAAUAACAACCACAACCCAAUAUCCCAUAUUAGCCAUCCAAUGGGGAAGUUGGAGUAGAGAUUUCUUUGACCAUAUCAAAUAAAUC
This 368-nucleotide long non-coding RNA is filed under the name Triticum aestivum (bread wheat). Its description in RNAcentral is "long non-coding RNA (TAES_LNC012069)". Lineage: Eukaryota; Viridiplantae; Streptophyta; Magnoliopsida; Poales; Poaceae. The record is from RNAcentral.